GGCGAUCAGCCUUCUUCAUGGUCUAGCUCCCACUUCCAUACAUCACUACUGGGAAAACCAUAGCUUUAACUAUACGGGCCUUGGUCAGCAAGGUGAUGUCUCUGCUUUUUAAGAUGCUGUCUAGGUUUGUCAUUGCUUUUCUCCCAAUUUCUUUUUCUCUCUCUUAGUGGACAUUUUUUAGGAAGCGAGCGGCGUAGAACUAUUGCAAGGAGAAUUCUCAGAGAUUAGGAAAACUACUAGACUCUUACCACGGGAAGGGGAGGUUUAAAUGUCCUCCUUAUUCCCGCAUUCCUCCGCCCCCUCCCGCAAAGAAUUAAAGAAAACAACAACAAUUUACAGUGUUGUCAGGGAGAGGAAGUUACGUUCACACGAAGCAGAAGUCAGCUCCAUGGAGACCAGGCACAUUUCCCUCCUAGAGCGGCUUUCAGUCAGUGGAGGUUGGUUGCCCUUGGAUAGGAGAGUUUAAGACAUGAUUAUAGUUGCUGCCGCCGGGUUAUUCUUGCAGAAGCACUAGAAGUUGCCUGGCAGCAGAGUGAGGCCAUUGGGGGGGGGGUAUGUACCAUAUUUUUCGCUCUAUAACACGCACCCGACCAUAACACGCACAUAGUUUUUAGAGGAGGAAAACAAGAAAAAAAUAUUCUAAACGAAACAGUGGAUGUAUGAUUUUUGUGGUUCAUGCUGUGGCCACAGACAUGUGAUCUGAUGGUGAGUUUGGGGUAGCCCAAUGCAAAAAUCCUGAGGAUCCAUGUGGAUCCAUGCUUUGUAAUCACGUUUUUGCACCACUGCGGCCCCAGGCAACAGUGGGUGCGUGAUUUUUUUGGUGCAAGCUGUAGCCAUGGACAUGCUAUGUGAUCUGAUGGUGAAUUUGGGGUGACCCAGUGCAAAAUCCUGAGGAUCCAUGUGGACCCGUGCUUUGUAACCACAUUUUAAGUGGGGAGGGAAGGAAAAGCACUCAAGGGACAAGGAACACGCGUGGGGUGGGUGGAGAAGGAUGCUGUUAAUAAUGCAGAAGAGGGGUAUAAGAGAAGGCUCCUCUCCUCUCCUGCUUUGCUCCUUUAAAGCAAGCAGGCUCUCUGUCCCUCUCUCCUCCCCACUCAGCAGCUCUUCUCCCGCUUUGCUGUUUCAAAGCAAGCCAUGGAGGAGGGAAGGAAGGGGAACCAUGGAUCCUCUGCUCACGACUGCAGCAGAUCCCCCCGCCAUCCGUAGGCAUUCGCUCCAUAACACGCACAGACAUUUCCCCUUACUUUCUAGGAGGAAAAAAGUGAGUGUUAUGGUGCAAAAAAUAUGGUAUGUAUGUAUAUACAUACAUGUGUAUGUAUGUAUAUACACACAUGUGUAUGUAUGUAUAUACACACGUGUGUGUGUGUAUGUAUGUAUAUACACACAUGUGUAUGUAUGUAUAUACACACGUGUAUGUAUGUAUAUACAUACAUGUGUAUGUAUGUACAUAUGUGUGUAUAUAAUAUAUACAAAUACAUAAAUGGGUUGGGAGGGUUCUUAGGGGAGGGGUAGUACCUCUGGUGGGUGACACUUCCUACUCCUGGGUCAUUUUGUCCACCUUUGGCCUCCGCCCUGCACUUGGCUCUUACCUGUGGCUCCUAGAAGCUGUCAGCAUGCACCGGCAGCUACAUCCCAGGAAGCAGCUUUGACUGGCUGGCUAAACCAGGUGAAGCGAGCCAAUGAAUCUCAAACCCUUGGGGCUUCCCCUGCAUGUGAAGACAGGCUCUGGCAGAUGGACGAGAACCAUCAUGGGUCCGACGGUCAAGAAGGCGGUUUCUGCACAUGCUGUAGAGGGAAGUGGGGAGCAAAUGGGGUUCGCCAUCCUGGAAAACUGAUCCUAAACCUCUGCUGCCUUGCAGGAUAUAUUCGGGGGAAGAAAAGGUUAAGGAGUAAGCCCUACACAAAGGUGGUUGGAUGGUGCUUCGUACACCUCCUUCCAGAAACUCUUGCAGCCAAGCUGAUGCCUAACGUAUUACUCUGCUUUCGUUUGGUCCACAUCAGCGAGCCAGAGGAGGGUGUUGUCAUCUGGGCAGCCCUGGACUUCCAUACAAGCUUGUGCCCCAGGG
Molecule: long non-coding RNA, 2066 nt
Filed under: Podarcis lilfordi (Lilford's wall lizard)
Lineage: Eukaryota; Metazoa; Chordata; Lepidosauria; Squamata; Lacertidae
Source: RNAcentral